GAUGAACGCUGGCGGCGUGCCUAAUACAUGCAAGUCGAACGCACAGCGAAAGGUGCUUGCCCCUUUCAAGUGAGUGGCGAACGGGUGAGUAACACGUGGACAACCUGCCUCAAGGCUGGGGAUAACAUUUGGAAACAGAUGCUAAUACCGAAUAAAACUUAGUGUCGCAUGACACAAAGUUAAAAGGCGCUUCGGCGUCACCUAGAGAUGGAUCCGCGGUGCAUUAGUUAGUUGGUGGGGUAAAGGCCUACCAAGACAAUGAUGCAUAGCCGAGUUGAGAGACUGAUCGGCCACAUUGGGACUGAGACACGGCCCAAACUCCUACGGGAGGCUGCAGUAGGGAAUCUUCCACAAUGGGCGAAAGCCUGAUGGAGCAACGCCGCGUGUGUGAUGAAGGCUUUCGGGUCGUAAAGCACUGUUGUAUGGGAAGAACAGCUAGAAUAGGAAAUGAUUUUAGUUUGACGGUACCAUACCAGAAAGGGACGGCUAAAUACGU
This 496-nucleotide ribosomal RNA is filed under the name uncultured bacterium. RNAcentral's name for it is "partial 16S ribosomal RNA". It matches the Rfam family "Bacterial small subunit ribosomal RNA", at positions 28 to 506 of the family's 1533-position model. The record is from RNAcentral.